Molecule: ribosomal RNA, 434 nt
Filed under: uncultured bacterium
Lineage: Bacteria
Description: bacterial SSU rRNA
Rfam family: Bacterial small subunit ribosomal RNA
Source: RNAcentral
AACGAACGCUGGCGGCAUGCCUAACACAUGCAAGUCGAACGAGACCUUCGGGUCUAGUGGCGCACGGGUGCGUAACGCGUGGGAACCUGCCCUUAGGUUCGGAAUAACGCCUCGAAAGGGGUGCUAAUACCGGAUAAUGUCUUCGGACCAAAGAUUUAUCGCCUUUGGAUGGGCCCGCGUUGGAUUAGCUAGUUGGUGGGGUAAAGGCCUACCAAGGCGACGAUCCAUAGCUGGUCUUAGAGGAUGAUCAGCCACACUGGGACUGAGACACGGCCCAGACUCCUACGGGAGGCAGCAGUGGGGAAUAUUGGACAAUGGGCGAAAGCCUGAUCCAGCAAUGCCGCGUGAGUGAUGAAGGCCUUAGGGUUGUAAAGCUCUUUUACCCGGGAUGAUAAUGACAGUACCGGGAGAAUAAGCUCCGGCUAACUCCGUGC